UUGUUUUUUUAAAAUUUAUUUACGAACAUUAUCUCUGAGGGACAACAGCAUGUCUCUGGCGCUCAUCUCUGUACAUGCAACUGUAGAAAAUAACAUUUGUAUUCACUUUGUCUCUUUCUGCAGGAAGUUGAACAGCUAAUGACAGUCCUGUAGCGGCAGAGCUGCGGCUGCGGCAGCACCAGCACUGCCAAACAAUAUGUACACAAACUACAUUGUAAAAAAAAAUUACAUUGUUACAUUACAGACAAUGCACUGUCGCUGCUGUUUGAACCCCACCUUCUACGCAAAUGGACCUAGUACAAAGAGAAGGGUGUGAAUUGACCUGUGAGCUAUUUACAUCUAUGUACACUGUCUCAGAAGCAUUACAAGGAGGGAAAUUUACACUGUCCAGGGGGUGGGGGGGAAUCCACAAAGCACAUGGGUCAAAGGUAAUACAUUACUUUUGCUAUUGUUGUUUGAAAUUGUUGAUUAAAAGGACUCUCCAUGCUUACACAGAUUAAUUUACGAUUAUUUAACCAAAAAGGGGGGGGGAAGCAGGGCUUGAAAAUGAUAUCUGACCAUAAUUUGGUAUGUCCCUUAAAGCAGGAGGGGGGGAGGGAAAGAGGGGGAGAAAAACGUAACCUAGGUCACUCGUGAAUACAUGUUAGACAUUUAUUUUCCCCACUUCUUCCUCCACCCCUGGAAAUAAAUCUGUGCUGGCCCUUUGACAUCGAGGAAAACCAGCCUCUGAAUUGGUUAAUUUAGAUUAAAAGAAAAAAAAGGGGGUGAGGGGAGAGGGGGUGGGUAAUGGUGGCCGGAUAAGGACCUAAAGAGUCAAGAUGGGAAGGAAAAGAGUUGUAAUACACCCAUGAAGCUCAAAAAUACUGAAGUGAGGGGGCAUCAUUACAUUCCACUACGAGCAAAGUGUCGUUACAGCGCACACAGAAUCGCAUCCUCACCGUGCACUGUCCACUUGAACAAGGCUGGGGGCAUACUGGGAAGGGGGCUGCGCGAAGCACCCACAAACAAAACACUCCUGGCAUUAUAACUAGAUGUUCAGAAGAAAAAGGAAAGUCCGAGCAGAUUCAUAGCAAACUGCUCGCCGUACACAAAAGCAGGUAGGUGUGAUCGCCCGCCGCCCUGGCUGUGCCCCGUGUACGGGAGGCUGGCGGUGUUCUUUGCCCUCCCCCCCACCUCCUCAGAGCCUGGAGAUCUAGAAGCUGUCCCGUACAAAGCCAGGAAUUCUAUUAUCUCUAAGGAGGGCUUGGACGUGGGGGAAGAAAGCAGGCGGACACUUGGUUGAAAGAGCUCAUGCGGUAGGCUAACCAAGGUAAAAUCAAGGAGCUCAACUAAAGUGACAUCGAACAUGUAGCAGGGAGCGUCUCAGCCUCUCGGACACUACUGUUCUCGUCAGUGUGGAUGACAAGCCCUUUCUGCCAUGCCCCCUUUCCCCUUCUCCACACUGCCCUUAACACCUGAGUGACUGUAGAGGAGAAACAUG
Phascolarctos cinereus (koala) is the source of this 1480-nucleotide non-coding RNA. NCBI's taxonomy places the organism in Eukaryota, Metazoa, Chordata, Mammalia, Diprotodontia, Phascolarctidae. The record is from RefSeq and is a predicted model, not a curated record.